RNAcentral lists this transfer RNA (67 nucleotides) under Microchironomus tener. RNAcentral describes it as "tRNA-Cys". The record is from RNAcentral. Lineage: Eukaryota; Metazoa; Arthropoda; Insecta; Diptera; Chironomidae.
AACUUUAUAGUCAUAUAAAUGAUAUUAGACUGCAAUUCUAAAGGAGUAAAGAUUUUUAUUGAAGUUU